This 253-nucleotide ribosomal RNA is filed under the name uncultured bacterium. Its description in RNAcentral is "partial 16S ribosomal RNA". It matches the Rfam family "Bacterial small subunit ribosomal RNA", at positions 524 to 776 of the family's 1533-position model. The record is from RNAcentral.
UACGUAGGGUGCAAGCGUUGUCCGGAAUUAUUGGGCGUAAAGAGCUCGUAGGUGGUUUGUCGCGUUGUCCGUGAAAACUCACAACUCAAUUGUGGGCGUGCGGGCGAUACGGGCAGACUGGAGUACUGCAGGGGAGACUGGAAUUCCUGGUGUAGCGGUGAAAUGCGCAGAUAUCAGGAGGAACACCGGUGGCGAAGGCGGGUCUCUGGGCAGUAACUGACGCUGAGGAGCGAAAGCGUGGGGAGCGAACAGG